This 301-nucleotide ribosomal RNA is filed under the name uncultured bacterium. RNAcentral's name for it is "partial 16S ribosomal RNA". It matches the Rfam family "Bacterial small subunit ribosomal RNA", at positions 509 to 808 of the family's 1533-position model. The record is from RNAcentral.
CAGCCGCCGCGGGAAUACGAGGGGGGCAAGCGUUGUUCGGAUUUAUUGGGCGUAAAGCGAGCGCAGGCGGUUAGAUAAGUCUGAAGUUAAAGGCUGUGGCUUAACCAUAGUACGCUUUGGAAACUGUUUAACUUGAGUGCAGAAGGGGAGAGUGGAAUUCCAUGUGUAGCGGUGAAAUGCGUAGAUAUAUGGAGGAACACCGGUGGCGAAAGCGGCUCUCUGGUCUGUAACUGACGCUGAGGCUCGAAAGCGUGGGGAGCAAACAGGAUUAGAUACCCGCGUAGUCCCUGUCUCUUAUACA